GGUGGCGUACCCAAGUAGCUAAGGGAGCGGUCUGCAAAACCGCGAUGCGUGGGUGCAACUCCCACCGCCACCUCCA
This 76-nucleotide transfer RNA is filed under the name Candidatus Omnitrophota bacterium. RNAcentral's name for it is "tRNA-Cys". It matches the Rfam family "tRNA". From Rfam's summary of the family: Transfer RNA (tRNA) molecules are approximately 80 nucleotides in length. Their secondary structure includes four short double-helical elements and three loops (D, anti-codon, and T loops). Further hydrogen bonds mediate the characteristic L-shaped molecular structure. tRNAs have two regions of fundamental functional importance: the anti-codon, which is responsible for specific mRNA codon recognition, and the 3' end, to which the tRNAs corresponding amino acid is attached (by aminoacyl-tRNA synthetases). tRNAs cope with the degeneracy of the genetic code in two manners: having more than one tRNA (with a specific anti-codon) for a particular amino acid; and 'wobble' base-pairing, i.e. permitting non-standard base-pairing at the 3rd anti-codon position. RNAcentral also lists the same sequence under 1 other name. Lineage: Bacteria; Pseudomonadati; Candidatus Omnitrophota. The record is from RNAcentral.